GGCCGCUUAGCUCAGCUGGUUAGAGCAUCGUACUAAUACCCAGCCUUUGGUUACUAGUCCAUGCGGAGGUCGGCAGUUCGAUCCUGUCAGUGGUCA
This is a non-coding RNA of Apiotrichum porosum, 96 nucleotides long. NCBI's taxonomy places the organism in Eukaryota, Fungi, Basidiomycota, Tremellomycetes, Trichosporonales, Trichosporonaceae. The record is from the annotation of a RefSeq genome assembly.